RNAcentral lists this transfer RNA (71 nucleotides) under Anisogomphus maacki. Its description in RNAcentral is "tRNA-Val". Lineage: Eukaryota; Metazoa; Arthropoda; Insecta; Odonata; Gomphidae. The record is from RNAcentral.
AAAUGUAAAAUUUAUUUUUACAGAUAGUAAUAAUGCAAAUUAAUGAUUUUAUUUUUAUUAUAUUGGAGAGU